UUAUGCGAUACUUGGUGUGAAUUGCAGAAUCCCGUGAACCAUCGAGUCUUUGAACGCAAGUUGCGCCCGAGGCCUUUUGGUCGAGGGCACAUCUGCUUGGGCGUUAAACAACUCGCCUCCCGCCGCCUUCCCCCUGCAGACUCGAGCGAGGGGCCUGUCGGAGAUGAGGGUAGGUGGGACGGAGUCUGGUCGUCCGUGUGCCUGCAGCGCAUGCGGUUGGCUGAAAAGCCUGGGCCAUGGGCUGCGUGCGGCUCAGCGAGUGGUGGUUGUGCGCCCUCGCAAGGCGGCGAUCGUCGGCGCGUUGUGCCGUUCGCUCCCCGAUUGCCCGGCAAGUACCCGACACGAUCGAAACAUCCAAUCCACGGAUCGAUUCGAAUUUGCAACCCCAAGUCAGGUGGGACUACCCGCCGAGCUUAAGCAUAUCAAUAAGCGGAGGAA
This 438-nucleotide ribosomal RNA is filed under the name Piper nigrum. RNAcentral describes it as "eukaryotic LSU rRNA". The stretch from base 1 to 106 matches the Rfam family "5.8S ribosomal RNA", at positions 51 to 154 of the family's 154-position model. Lineage: Eukaryota; Viridiplantae; Streptophyta; Magnoliopsida; Piperales; Piperaceae. The record is from RNAcentral.